CUCAGACACUCAAGAUCAUUAAGGGUUUACCUUCCUUUUAUCUUUCUUGGGAAGCUACUGAGAGCUCUUGAAAGGUAGAUACAACAGAAAUAUACCCAGAAAAGGGUAGACAUGAGGCCCAGGCCUUAGAGGAACCAAGAGAAGAGAGAGGCAAUGACAAGCCCAACGUGAUGGCCAAGAGAGAGGUGACAGGUAGGUGGAAAACCUCGAGGGUUGGAAACCCAGAUUGGCACAGGUUGGAAGGCUCUGAGGGGAAAGACUUCAAGAAUAUGAACUGAUAGACAGCAGAUUUAUACCAUUGGGGCACAUUUAGGAUUGGAUAUUAUAUACAGUCACGCAUGACUUAAAAAUGGGGAUACAUGGUGAGAACUGCAAUAUGAGGUGAUUUUGUCAUUGUGUGAACCUCAUAGAGUGAUUCACACAAACCUAGCAGGGAUAUCCUGUGACACUCCUAGGCUCUGAGGUAUAUACCAUUGCUUGUAUGGUCCAUCACCAUCCAAAACAUCAUUAUGAGGACCAUGAUUAUGAGACACUAUGUGAUUGUGUGUGUAUAUAUGUUAAUUGUAUAUGUAUACCAUUAUGACUAAUGUAUUUUGCAUAGUCCAAGCAUUAAAAUAUACAUAAGGAAAGGAUGCAUAAAAAGAGAUAUUAAUAAAAGCUCUAGAAUAUUCUUCUCUCACCCCAGUG
This 687-nucleotide long non-coding RNA is filed under the name Marmota monax (woodchuck). The record is from RNAcentral. Lineage: Eukaryota; Metazoa; Chordata; Mammalia; Rodentia; Sciuridae.